UCACACCCAUGAUCCAUUGACUCCCAACCC
This 30-nucleotide non-coding RNA is filed under the name Mus musculus (house mouse). Lineage: Eukaryota; Metazoa; Chordata; Mammalia; Rodentia; Muridae. The record is from RNAcentral.